This 375-nucleotide unclassified non-coding RNA is filed under the name Hevea brasiliensis (rubber tree). The record is from RNAcentral. Lineage: Eukaryota; Viridiplantae; Streptophyta; Magnoliopsida; Malpighiales; Euphorbiaceae.
ACGAUGAGUAGGUAGAUGCAUGCUUGCAGCAGUUAGGAGCUGCAGCAUAUCAUAGUAGUUAGGAGCUGCAGCAGUUAGGAGCUCAUGGGCCAAUAAACUGUUUGGUGAGAUGAGUUACUGUUCUGUAGUGGUUUCAUGAAUGAAUAUUUUCAUCUUCUGUGUGGAGAAGCGAUAGCUGGAGCUGCAGCAUAUCAUAGUAGAAGGUCCUUAACUUAUGAAUCAAGCUUCUCUAGUCCAAAUCAAAGAGCCAAGUUAUGUUGGGAAUGUCAAGAUUUACAUGCCGAGUUUGAAGUUGUUAAUUGAUGAUAGUUGCUUGUUAUGUUUGUUAGAUAAGCUAGUAUAGGCUAUUAACAACUUCAAACUCGGCAUGUAAAU